Molecule: long non-coding RNA, 596 nt
Filed under: Gossypium barbadense (sea-island cotton)
Lineage: Eukaryota; Viridiplantae; Streptophyta; Magnoliopsida; Malvales; Malvaceae
Description: long non-coding RNA (GBAR_LNC015726)
Source: RNAcentral
GGUAGGGCCAACAAGUUUGAUGGGAAGAUCUCAGCCUUUCCUGGGAGAGAUGGGAACGGGAGCGUUGAUUUGGAGGUUGUUUUGGCCCCUGAUACCAUGUUGGAGGUUGAGAAUGACCCUGAGAUUAUGCAGUACGUAUCCGAAUUCCUGUGAGUGCAAUCAGUAGGGAAAAGAAACAUAAAUCCGAGGUGGCAAUUUGUGAUGGGUGAUAAGUUGUUAAACCGUUACCCAAAUCUUGGAGGAAGAAAAUACCACCAUAAACUUGAACGGCUGUGAUUUCAUUUCCUGUAAACUCAAAAAAAAGAAAAAAAGGUUACCCCUAUAAAAAUGGAUCAAGUCAGAAACCAUAAAAUUCGAGUUAUUUUCCCAAUUCUUGUGUCGGUUAGGUUUCAUAUAUAUAUGGUUUGGAAAUUUUUUGGUAUUAUAUACAUAUAUGUGUAAUGGCAACAUAAUAUUAGAAUGACAGAUGAAAUCAAAUGGCUGUGUUUCUAAUUACCAAUCAGGGUAGCGGCAACUAUCCGGUUCAUCUCAGGUCCUUAUCUCUAAUACUAGCUAUGGAGGCAUGUUUUGUCACAUUCAAUUGUUUAUUUUAAUCU